Molecule: ribosomal RNA, 475 nt
Filed under: uncultured Actinomycetes bacterium
Lineage: Bacteria; Bacillati; Actinomycetota; Actinomycetes
Description: bacterial SSU rRNA
Rfam family: Bacterial small subunit ribosomal RNA
Source: RNAcentral
UGGGGAAUAUUGCACAAUGGGCGAAAGCCUGAUGCAGCGACGCCGCGUGAGGGAUGAAGGCCUUCGGGUUGUAAACCUCUUUCAGUAGGGAAGAAGCGAAAGUGACGGUACCUGCAGAAGAAGCGCCGGCUGACUACGUGCCAGCAGCCGCGGUAAUACGUAGGGCGCAAGCGUUGUCCGGAAUUAUUGGGCGUAAAGAGCUCGUAGGCGGUUUGUCGCGUCUGGUGUGAAAACUCAAGGCUCAACCUUGAGCUUGCAUCGGGUACGGGCAGACUAGAGUGCGGUAGGGGUGACUGGAAUUCCUGGUGUAGCGGUGGAAUGCGCAGAUAUCAGGAGGAACACCGAUGGCGAAGGCAGGUCACUGGGCCGCAACUGACGCUGAGGAGCGAAAGCAUGGGAGCGAACAGGAUUAGAUACCCUGGUAGUCCAUGCCGUAAACGUUGGGCACUAGGUGUGGGGCUCGAUUCCACGAGUU